RNAcentral lists this ribosomal RNA (253 nucleotides) under uncultured bacterium. RNAcentral describes it as "partial 16S ribosomal RNA". It matches the Rfam family "Bacterial small subunit ribosomal RNA", at positions 524 to 776 of the family's 1533-position model. The record is from RNAcentral.
UACGUAGGGCGCAAGCGUUGUCCGGAAUUAUUGGGCGUAAAGAGCUCGUAGGCGGCCAGUCACGUCGGAUGUGAAAGCCCGAGGCUUAACCUCGGGUCUGCAUUCGAUACAGGCUGGCUAGAGUGUGGUAGGGGAGAUCGGAAUUCCUGGUGUAGCGGUGAAAUGCGCAGAUAUCAGGAGGAACACCGGUGGCGAAGGCGGAUCUCUGGGCCAUUACUGACGCUGAGGAGCGAAAGCGUGGGGAGCGAACAGG